CUACGGGAUGCUGCAGUGAGGAAUAUUGCACAAUGGGGGGAACCCUGAUGCAGCAACGCCGCGUGGAGGAUGACGCAUUUCGGUGUGUAAACUCCUUUUAUAUGUCAAGAAAAUGACGGUAGCAUAUGAGUAAUCACCGGCUAACUCCGUGCCAGCAGCCGCGGUAAUACGGAGGGUGCAAGCGUUACUCGGAAUCACUGGGCGUAAAGGACGCGUAGGCGGGUUGGAAAGUCAGGAGUGAAAUCCUACAGCUUAACUGUAGAACUGCACUUGAAACUUCUAAUCUAGAGUAUGGGAGGGGGAGAUGGAAUUAGUGGUGUAGGGGUAAAAUCCGUAGAUAUCACUAGGAAUACCUAAAGCGAAGGCGAUCUCCUGGAACAUUACUGACGCUAAGGCGUGAAAGCGUGGGGAGCAAACAGGAUUAGAUACCCCAGUAGUC
This 439-nucleotide ribosomal RNA is filed under the name uncultured bacterium. Its description in RNAcentral is "partial 16S ribosomal RNA". It matches the Rfam family "Bacterial small subunit ribosomal RNA", at positions 339 to 795 of the family's 1533-position model. The record is from RNAcentral.